UAAAGAAUCUGGGGACAGGUGCCGAGCCAUUGACUGUAGUAAGUGUGACAGCGUGGCCGAGUCUUCAUCGCAUCGUGGCUGGGGACCAGUUUGCAAAGCGUUGUAUAGUGAAAACCACCCAAAUUACAUACUGCUCUUUAACUGGGGAUUUCAGAAAACAGCAGUCCUGAGAGAAAGAAGACAAGAAUCGUAAUGCAGCAGCAGCAAACAAUCAAAAUUGCAAGCUUUGACAUGAAUUAAAUUUGCAAAGGUGGACGCCAUGCCUAACAACGUGACAAGCUAAUACGGAGCAGAAUGAGAUUAAUGGGUUGAAAUAUCUCUUUCCUGUUUAAGGUUAACCUCAGACUUAUAGUACACAGCAGUCCGAAGGCGAUGUAUGGAGUUUGGCUUGAGAAAAUAUCACUACUCUGGGCCUUUUCCUACUCCCAUUCCAGUUGCUGAAUAUUUUGCUCUUGUCCUUGCAGGACUGUCGCCUGAGGAAAGACAACAGAAUUCAACAUAGACUGUAUAUUCAAUGAGGAUUUAUCUUCUGUUUUAUGAAACUAGACUGACGACUUCCUAACAGAUGCAAGCAAUUUUCCUGUGAAGAAUUAUCAAAUUUCUCUGUGAGAAAAGCUUUCUCCCUCGUUUUAUUAGUGAACUGUAUCUAUGCAAAGGAAUUCUGUUACAAAUAGAGCUAAAUACAUAUAGU
This is a long non-coding RNA of Gymnogyps californianus (California condor), 691 nucleotides long. RefSeq lists it as uncharacterized. The record is from RefSeq and is a predicted model, not a curated record. The transcript has 3 exons. NCBI's taxonomy places the organism in Eukaryota, Metazoa, Chordata, Aves, Accipitriformes, Cathartidae.